CCCGACUGCUAUUUGGGUGAGGAUAAGCCAUGCGAGUCGAAUGGGAUACCUAAAUUUCCCAUGGCGAACUGCUCAGUAACACAUGAUCAACUUAACCUAUUGAGAAAGAUAACCUCGGGAAACUGAGGAUAAUAUUUCAUAGUUGAAUUGGCUUGGAAAAGUUUUUCAACAAAAGGGAUAGGGAAAAUGGUCUCUAUCCGCUAUAGGAUAGGAUCGUGUUCGAUUAUGGUAGUUGGUGAGGUAACGGCUCACCAAGCCGAUAAUCGAUAGGGGCCGUGAGAGCGGGAGCCCCGAGAUGGGUACUGAGACAACGACCCAGGCCUUACGAGGCGCAGCAGGUACGAUACCUCCACAAUACACGAAAGUGUGAUGGGGUUACCCAAAGUGUUCAUUAUUGAACUGUGGUAGGAGAGUAAUGUCCCUACUAGAAAGGAGAGGGCAAGGCUGGUGCCAGCCGCCGCGGUAAAACCAGCUCUUCAAGUGGUCGGGAUAAUAUUGGGCUCAAAGUGUCCGUAGCCGGUUUAGUAAGUUCCUGGUAAAAUCGGGUAGCUUAACUAUCUGUAUGCUAGGAAUACUGCUAUACUAGAGGGCGGGAGAGGUCUGAGGUACUACAGGGGUAGGGGUGAAAUCUUAUAAUCCUUGUAGGACCACCAGUGGCGAAGGCGUCAGACUGGAACGCGCCUGACGGUGAGGGACGAAAGCCAGGGGAGCGAACCGGAUUAGAUACCCGGGUAGUCCUGGCCGUAAACGAUGCAUACUAGGUGAUGGUAUGGCUAUGAGCCAUAUCAGUGCCGUAGGGAAACCGUUAAGUGUGCCGCCUGGGAAGUACGGUCGCAAGGCUAAAACUUAAAGGAAUUGGCGGGGGAGCACCACAAGGGGUGAAGCCUGCGGUUCA
Molecule: ribosomal RNA, 895 nt
Filed under: uncultured archaeon
Lineage: Archaea
Description: bacterial SSU rRNA
Rfam family: Archaeal small subunit ribosomal RNA
Source: RNAcentral